UUUUGCGACCCACCCUGCUUUCUAUAUAACUGUGGGAGAUGACCUCCUCUCAAGGAAAAGUAGAUCUCAGAUCUUUCUAACCACACCAGCUACAUAAAGUACACAAUAAAUGAAUCAAAAAUAAGACUUAAUUUCAUUUAGUCUAACAUCCUCACAUUAAGACCUCUAUCAUAAAGUUUAAAGAUCUUCAACUUCACCAAUCCAUACUGCACAUCCCCCUAAAUGUUUUUACAAACUUUUUUGAUUACAGUUCUCAAUUAAAAAAAAAAAGUUAUAUCUCAACACAAUACACAAUACUUACACAACAAAAUUUACCACUCCAAAUUUUUACAAUGUAUUAAGUUUCUACUUCUAAUCAACAACUACAGAUAGUUUAUUAGCUUAAAAUGUGAAACAUGCUCUCAGCUGAUAAUUAGAUAAUAAUACUCUAUUGGCAAAUACAAGAAUAGAGUCUAUAGUGAAUACAUAUACCAUCAAUUUAUAACAAGUCUGAAACCAACUUGCUCAACCCACUAUCUUCACACCAAGUAGUCUACUCAUCUGA
This 544-nucleotide long non-coding RNA is filed under the name Bos taurus (domestic cattle). Its description in RNAcentral is "long non-coding RNA NONBTAT019738". Lineage: Eukaryota; Metazoa; Chordata; Mammalia; Artiodactyla; Bovidae. The record is from RNAcentral.